AACGCUGGCGGCGUGCUUAACACAUGCAAGUCGUACGAGAACUCUUCUGCUUGCAGAAGAUAGUAAAGUGGCGCACGGGUGAGUAACGCGUGGGUAAUCUACCUCUGAAUCGGGGAUAACCCGCCGAAAGGCGAGCUAAUACCGGAUAAUAUCUUUAAACUUCGGUUUUUAAGAUCAAAGGUGGUCUCUACAUGUAAGCUACUGUUUGGAGAUGAGCCCGCGUACCAUUAGCUUGUUGGUAGGGUAAUGGCCUACCAAGGCGCGAUGGUUAGCUGGUCUGAGAGGAUGAUCAGCCACACUGGAACUGACACACGGUCCAGACUCCUACGGGAGGCAGCAGUGAGGAAUUUUGCGCAAUGGGGGAAACCCUGACGCAGCAACGCCGCGUGAGUGAUGAAGGCUUUCGGGUCGUAAAGCUCUGUCAAGUGGGAAGAAAAUGCUAGAUGUUAAU
This 451-nucleotide ribosomal RNA is filed under the name uncultured bacterium. RNAcentral's name for it is "bacterial SSU rRNA". It matches the Rfam family "Bacterial small subunit ribosomal RNA", at positions 32 to 465 of the family's 1533-position model. The record is from RNAcentral.